CUUGUACUCCCUUCGUCGGAAAAUACUUGUCAUUGAAAUGGAUGUAUCUAGAUGUAUUUUAGUUCUAGACACAUCCAUUUUGAUGACAAGUAAUUCCGGACGGAGGGAGUACUUG
This is a non-coding RNA of Triticum aestivum (bread wheat), 115 nucleotides long. The record is from Rfam. Lineage: Eukaryota; Viridiplantae; Streptophyta; Magnoliopsida; Poales; Poaceae.